CCGCAGAGUCGACCCGGGGAAUUCAGCCCGCGCCGCCAGCGGCGCUCGCAAAGUUCGGAUCCGCAAGGACCGGGCCAGCGGGACGUCCGCGUGGCAGGGUGCACUUUCUCCGCGGUCGAGUGCUACGACCGGUUUCGAGGCGGUCAGAAGCCCGGCGGAAAGGUAGCGCCGCCCUUCGGGGUGUCGUGUUAUAGGCCGCCGCGGUGGACUCGCCGCGAGACCGAGGACGCUUGCCGCGCCGAGCGGUCCCGGGCCGUCUUGGGAGGUUCGACCUCGGCUGCACUGCUCCGCAGAGCACCGUAACCGCCGCCCUAGCACGGGUCCGGAGACUGCCGGCGCCUCGGGUCAGUAGCGAAUCGGUCGGU
Molecule: ribosomal RNA, 365 nt
Filed under: Corbicula fluminea
Lineage: Eukaryota; Metazoa; Mollusca; Bivalvia; Venerida; Cyrenidae
Also listed under: 2 other names
Description: partial 28S ribosomal RNA
Source: RNAcentral